RNAcentral lists this ribosomal RNA (499 nucleotides) under uncultured bacterium. RNAcentral describes it as "bacterial SSU rRNA". It matches the Rfam family "Bacterial small subunit ribosomal RNA", at positions 16 to 507 of the family's 1533-position model. The record is from RNAcentral.
AUCAUGGCUCAGGAUGAACGCUAGCGGCAGGCUUAAUACAUGCAAGUCGUGGGGCAGCAGGUUUGUAGCAAUACAGAUGCUGGCGACCGGCAAACGGGUGCGGAACACGUACAGAACCUUCCUUUGAGCGGGGAAUAGCCCAGAGAAAUUUGGAUUAAUACCCCAUAGUAUAAUGAAGUGGCAUCACUUUAUUAUUAAAGAUUUAUCACUCGAAGAUGGCUGUGCGGCUGAUUAGGUAGUUGGCGGGGUAAAGGCCCACCAGCCUGCGAUCAGUGACUGGUGUGAGAGCACGACCAGUCACACGGGCACUGAGACACGGGCCCGACUCCUACGGGAGGCAGCAGUAAGGAAUAUUGGUCAAUGGAGGCAACUCUGAACCAGCCAUGCCGCGUGGAGGAUGAAGGUCCUCUGGAUUGUAAACUUCUUUUAUAUGGGACGAAAAAAGGCUUUUCUAAGUCGUCUGACGGUACCAUAUGAAUAAGCACCGGCUAACUCCGUG